UCCAUGGAACACAUACUAAAAAUCACCACAUUUCCAGAGGGAGAAGUAGGAGAUAAAUGGAGUAAGGCUGCCCAUACUCUUCAAGGAACUGGAAUCUAACAGAUUGCCGUUUCGACAGCAGAGUACAAGUCUUCAGAGAAGAUGGAAAGUUGCUCCCUCAAUAAAGUGUAGGUCUGGAAUGGAAAUAAUACUUUUGGAGAAAGCGUUCGGUGUAUGAAGGACAGAGAAUAGGAAACUUUUCUCACCCAGCUGUGAGCAGGAAGUGGCUUUCCACAGAUCUCUCUGCAGAGGAAAAUCCCUCUUGGAGCACCUUGAUCCCUUGGAGCGUCAUGGAACCCGGACGGGGUGGAGGUGAGCUGGUUAAGUUUGUGAAACCUGCCCGGGGGCCACUCCACCUCGCCCUGGCUAGAGAUGCUUUAGAGGCUGGUGCGAGCAGCAGUUGCUGUUUGAGACAGGGGCCGAGUGCUGGGGUGGCCAUUCCAGAAUGUAGCCCCUCAGAAGCGUGCUGCCCAGCCUUGUAAGAAGGGUAAAACAAAUA
Long non-coding RNA from Eptesicus fuscus (big brown bat), 538 nucleotides. RefSeq lists it as uncharacterized. NCBI's taxonomy places the organism in Eukaryota, Metazoa, Chordata, Mammalia, Chiroptera, Vespertilionidae. The transcript has 4 exons. The record is from RefSeq and is a predicted model, not a curated record.